Molecule: non-coding RNA, 98 nt
Organism: Capsicum annuum
Lineage: Eukaryota; Viridiplantae; Streptophyta; Magnoliopsida; Solanales; Solanaceae
Source: Rfam
GGAUGAAGGUAGCAUGGUUGUGUACACGAAUUGAAUUAAUUGAGUCAACAUGUCUGCUAUCUCUGAUUUCUCCUUGGUGGCUUGGUUUAGACACAUUU